RNAcentral lists this ribosomal RNA (478 nucleotides) under uncultured bacterium. RNAcentral's name for it is "partial 16S ribosomal RNA". It matches the Rfam family "Bacterial small subunit ribosomal RNA", at positions 28 to 507 of the family's 1533-position model. The record is from RNAcentral.
GAUGAACGCUGGCGGCGUGCUUAACACAUGCAAGUCGAACGGGAAACCUUUUAUUGAAGCUUCGGCAGAUUUAGCUGGUUUCUAGUGGCGGACGGGUGAGUAACGCGUGGGUAACCUGCCUUAUACAGGGGGAUAACAACCAGAAAUGGUUGCUAAUACCGCAUAAGCGCACAGGACCGCAUGGUCCGGUGUGAAAAACUCCGGUGGUAUAAGAUGGACCCGCGUUGGAUUAGCUAGUUGGCAGGGUAACGGCCUACCAAGGCGACGAUCCAUAGCCGGCCGGAGAGGGUGAACGGUCACAUUGGGACUGAGACACGGCCCAGACUCCUACGGGAGGCAGCAGUGGGGAAUAUUGCACAAUGGGGGAAACGCUGAUGCAGCGACGCCGCGUGAAGGAAGAAGUAUCUCGGUAUGUAAACUUCUAUCAGCAGGGAAGAUAGUGACGGUACCUGACUAAGAAGCCCCGGCUAACUACGUG